UAAAUCACAAGGUCCAGAGUUUAU
RNAcentral lists this non-coding RNA (24 nucleotides) under Arabidopsis thaliana (thale cress). Lineage: Eukaryota; Viridiplantae; Streptophyta; Magnoliopsida; Brassicales; Brassicaceae. The record is from RNAcentral.